This 926-nucleotide ribosomal RNA is filed under the name uncultured Bacteroidota bacterium. Its description in RNAcentral is "bacterial SSU rRNA". It matches the Rfam family "Bacterial small subunit ribosomal RNA", at positions 1 to 917 of the family's 1533-position model. The record is from RNAcentral. Lineage: Bacteria; Pseudomonadati; Bacteroidota.
UGGAUCCAGACUUUGAUUCUGGCUCAGGAUGAACGCUAGCGACAGGCUUAACACAUGCAAGUCGAGGGGAAACGACAUCGAAAGCUUGCUUUUGAUGGGCGUCGACCGGCGCACGGGUGAGUAACGCGUAUCCAACCUGCCCACCACUUGGGGAUAACCUUGCGAAAGUAAGACUAAUACCCAAUGACGUCUCUAGAAGACAUCUGAAAGAGAUUAAAGAUUUAUCGGUGAUGGAUGGGGAUGCGUCUGAUUAGCUUGUUGGCGGGGUAACGGCCCACCAAGGCUACGAUCAGUAGGGGUUCUGAGAGGAAGGUCCCCCACAUUGGAACUGAGACACGGUCCAAACUCCUACGGGAGGCAGCAGUGAGGAAUAUUGGUCAAUGGACGAGAGUCUGAACCAGCCAAGUAGCGUGCAGGAUGACGGCCCUAUGGGUUGUAAACUGCUUUUAUAAGGGAAUAAAGUGAGCCUCGUGAGACUUUUUGCAUGUACCUUAUGAAUAAGGACCGGCUAAUUCCGUGCCAGCAGCCGCGGUAAUACGGAAGGUCCGGGCGUUAUCCGGAUUUAUUGGGUUUAAAGGGAGCGUAGGCCGGAGAUUAAGCGUGUUGUGAAAUGUAGAUGCUCAACAUCUGCACUGCAGCGCGAACUGGUUUCCUUGAGUACGCACAAAGUGGGCGGAAUUCGUGGUGUAGCGGUGAAAUGCUUAGAUAUCACGAAGAACUCCGAUUGCGAAGGCAGCUCACUGGAGCGCAACUGACGCUGAAGCUCGAAAGUGCGGGUAUCGAACAGGAUUAGAUACCCUGGUAGUCCGCACGGUAAACGAUGGAUGCCCGCUGUUGGUCUGAAUAGGUCAGCGGCCAAGCGAAAGCAUUAAGCAUCCCACCUGGGGAGUACGCCGGCAACGGUGCAACUCAAAUGAAUUGACGGA